CCUAAAACAGAAAUGUUUAAACCCCAUUUGGCUGCUCUGCUCCGAACACCACCGUCAGCUCCGCCUUAAAUCCUCCCUCUUCUCUCCCGAUGAAGCCUUCUCGCUGGAGCCCCCUAUUCAAUUUCUACUCUCGUUUACCGGGCGUUUCGCUCUACUCAACGACGGCCAAAUCGCCGCCGUCCACGUCUCACAGAACCCACUGGAAAGGCACACUCAACCGCCUCUACGGUCGGAUUUCGAAGAUCGCAGAUCCUAAGGCCCCCAUUCACCUGAUUCUCGACCAGUGGAUUCAACAAGGCCGACCCGUCGAUAAAGUCGGCCUCGUCUUUAUGAUUAAGGAGCUCAAACACUUUAAACGCUUCGACAACGCUCUUCAGGUAUCAAUGUGGAUGACUGACGAAAGGUACUUUGAACUUUCUCCGGCUGAUGCAGCGGUUCGGCUGGACUUGAUUGCAAAAGUUCAUGGAGUGGAACAAGCUGAGAGUUAUUUUGACAACAUUCCCAUACAAUUGAAAUCGCUUGGUGUUUACUUGGCUCUGCUCAACUGCUAUGCCCAUGCAAAGCUUGUUGAGAAAGCAGAGGCCACAAUGCAGAAGAUUAGGGAUUUGGGGCUCGCUAGGACGUCGUUGGCUUACAACAAUUUGCUCAAUUUGUAUUAUCAGACUGGAAAGCGUGAUAAGCUUGACGCGUUGGUGAAUGAAAUGGAGGAGAAGCGCAUCCAGUGUAACAAAUUCACAUACGGGAUCCUGCUCAGUGCAUAUGCUGCUGCUUCUGACUUUGAGGCAGUUGAGAAGAUUCUUGCACAAUGGGAAUCACAUCCUGAUUGUCGUUUGGAUUGGAUUAACUAUGCCGUUGUGGCAAAUGUUUAUAUAAAAGCAGGAAAUGAGGACAAGGCUUUGGCAAUGCUAAAGAAGUCUGAGGAGCUGAUACCAAGUUCUGAAAGACGGAGGGAAGCAUACGAGCACCUUGUGCCACAAUAUGCAGCACUAGGGAAGAAAGAUAAUGUUGUGAGACUAUGGGAACUUUACAAGGGUCAGAUGAAAGUAUACAAUAAGGGUUAUAGAAUCAUGAUAACCUCACUCUUGAAGAUUGGCGACAGUGAGAGUGCCGAGAAGAUCUUUGAAGAGUGGGAAUCUCAGCAGUCAGUUUAUGAUGUUCGUAUCCCAAAUCACUUGAUUGCUGCUUAUGCCAGAAAAGGUCUUCUUGACAAGGCUGAAGCUAUUAUUGAAAGGGUUAUACUGAAGGGUGCGAAACCUGAUGCAAAGUCAUGGUAUUCUUUGGCAAAAGUGCAUCUUGAUCAUGAUCAAACUGAGAAGGCAGUUGAGUUGACGAGAAAAGCACUUUUGGCUGUGCAGCCUGGUUGGAAGAUCAACAAGGAUGUUUGGGCUGCCUGUCUCAACUACUUGAUAAAGAAACCUGAUCCAGAGGGUGCCAAGGAAUAUAUAAAGCUACUCACUGAUAAGAAUGUUAUCACCGUGAUUACACAGGAGAGACUGUUGAAUAAGAUAAAUAAGGCGGAUUCAAACUCUGUAACACCAGGCGAAAUGGAAGGGGAUGGUCGAAAUGGAGAUGAAGAAGCAAGUGAAGUUUCAGAAGUGGAGGGGAGUCGUAGCUGCUAGCAUCCAAUAAUGAAAAUCUUGUCGGACACAUAUUCUAUUAAUUCCUGAAAUUUAGGUAGCAAAUGCAAGUAAAGUGGAGGUACUUGCAUAAAUGGUAACAGUUGAUGCCAAAUAACCUCAGUGAAGUUUAAUAGCCAUUGUAUUGAGAGGGAGAGAGAGUGAAUGGCAGAGUUGUGUGAGGAAGCAUGAAUGAUACUGUUAGAUGGAAAGCUUCCACGCCGAAGGCAAUGCUCACCAAAUUAGAAGCAAUAGGUUGAUCAUGCGGAGUGAACUACACAGUCAGCAAAACAAACACAAAUUAUUUAUGACUAUACCUUGCUGGUCCUACAAAAUCCUAUGUUCUCAACCAGCGCUAGUCCUUGGACGACAAAUGGCAUCUGGGCAGUCAACCUUGCGGGGGAAUCUCCUCCUGAGUAUAAGUAUGUGGCACUUGAUAACUGUCCAUCAACCCCUCCAUUUGACUAUCAGCUUAGUGACGCUGUUGUAAGUGUACUCUCUGAAGCUUGGCCAAAUCCCUAUCCGAAUAUCACUACAGCCAUGGAAAUUUGGAGACAUGAAUAUGAGAUACACGGUUCAUGUACCAUAAAUAUAUUGCCAACUUCCACUAGUUAUUUACUGCAAGCACUUUACUUGUGGGAGAAACUCAAGUUUCACGAUUUGAUGGGUGAGAAUGGCACUUAUAAGCCAAAUAUUCAAUAUCAAACCGAGGACGUGCUGAACGGCAUCAAACGUGUCUAUUAUGUCCAACCAAUAUUGAUAUGUUCUGGUAGUGAACUAGUGGAUGUUAGGUUUUGUUAUACAGGACAUUGGGUACUGAUAAAUU
Molecule: RNA transcript, 2442 nt
Organism: Rosa rugosa (rugosa rose)
Lineage: Eukaryota; Viridiplantae; Streptophyta; Magnoliopsida; Rosales; Rosaceae
Gene name: pentatricopeptide repeat-containing protein At2g20710, mitochondrial-like
Exons: 5
Source: RefSeq, a predicted model, not a curated record